GUACUGCUGAAGAGUCCCAAAAAACUAGAACGAAACAGCUGUCCAGUAC
RNAcentral lists this non-coding RNA (49 nucleotides) under Trichobilharzia regenti. Lineage: Eukaryota; Metazoa; Platyhelminthes; Trematoda; Strigeidida; Schistosomatidae. The record is from RNAcentral.